GGUGGCUCAGUGUUAGAGUACUUGCCUUGCAUGCAUGAGGCCCUGGGUUCGAUUCCUCAGCACCA
This 65-nucleotide transfer RNA is filed under the name Dipodomys ordii (Ord's kangaroo rat). It matches the Rfam family "tRNA". From Rfam's summary of the family: Transfer RNA (tRNA) molecules are approximately 80 nucleotides in length. Their secondary structure includes four short double-helical elements and three loops (D, anti-codon, and T loops). The record is from Rfam by way of RNAcentral. Lineage: Eukaryota; Metazoa; Chordata; Mammalia; Rodentia; Heteromyidae.